GCCGGAUUAGCUCAGUUGGUAGAGCAGCGCACUUGUAAUGCGAAGGUCAACAGUUCGAUUCCGUUAUCCGGCACCA
RNAcentral lists this transfer RNA (76 nucleotides) under Pseudomonadota bacterium. RNAcentral's name for it is "tRNA-Thr". It matches the Rfam family "tRNA". From Rfam's summary of the family: Transfer RNA (tRNA) molecules are approximately 80 nucleotides in length. Their secondary structure includes four short double-helical elements and three loops (D, anti-codon, and T loops). Further hydrogen bonds mediate the characteristic L-shaped molecular structure. tRNAs have two regions of fundamental functional importance: the anti-codon, which is responsible for specific mRNA codon recognition, and the 3' end, to which the tRNAs corresponding amino acid is attached (by aminoacyl-tRNA synthetases). tRNAs cope with the degeneracy of the genetic code in two manners: having more than one tRNA (with a specific anti-codon) for a particular amino acid; and 'wobble' base-pairing, i.e. permitting non-standard base-pairing at the 3rd anti-codon position. The record is from RNAcentral. RNAcentral also lists the same sequence under 4 other names. Lineage: Bacteria; Pseudomonadati; Pseudomonadota.